GUGGGGAAUAUUGGACAAUGGGCGCAAGCCUGAUCCAGCAAUGCCGCGUGCAGGAAGAAGGCCUUCGGGUUGUAAACUGCUUUUGUACGGAACGAAACGGUCCUGGCUAAUAUCCGGGGCUAAUGACGGUACCGUAAGAAUAAGCACCGGCUAACUACGUGCCAGCAGCCGCGGUAAUACGUAGGGUGCGAGCGUUAAUCGGAAUUACUGGGCGUAAAGCGUGCGCAGGCGGUGCUGUAAGACAGGCGUGAAAUCCCCGGGCUCAACCUGAGAAUUGCGCUUGUGACUGCAGUGCUGGAGUGCGGCAGAGGGGGAUGGAAUUCCGCGUGUAGCAGUGAAAUGCGUAGAUAUGCGGAGGAACACCGAUGGCGAAGGCAAUCCCCUGGGCCUGCACUGACGCUCAUGCACGAAAGCGUGGGGAGCAAACAGGAUUAGAAACCCUUGUAGUCC
Molecule: ribosomal RNA, 450 nt
Filed under: uncultured bacterium
Lineage: Bacteria
Description: partial 16S ribosomal RNA
Rfam family: Bacterial small subunit ribosomal RNA
Source: RNAcentral